AUUGAACGCUGGCGGCAGGCCUAACACAUGCAAGUCGAGCGGAUGAAGGGAGCUUGCUCCUGGAUUCAGCGGCGGACGGGUGAGUAAUGCCUAGGAAUCUGCCUGGUAGUGGGGGAUAACGUCCGGAAACGGGCGCUAAUACCGCAUACGUCCUGAGGGAGAAAGUGGGGGAUCUUCGGCCCUCCCGCUAUCAGAUGAGCCUAGGUCGGAUUAGCUAGUUGGUGGGGUAAAGGCCUACCAAGGCGACGAUCCGUAACUGGUCUGAGAGGAUGAUCAGUCACACUGGAACUGAGACACGGUCAAGACUCCUACGGGAGGCAGCAGUGGGGAAUAUUGGACAAUGGGCGAAAGCCUGAUCCAGCCAUGCCGCGUGUGUGAAGAAGGUCUUCGGUUUGUAAAGCACUUUAAGUUGGGAGGAAGGGCAGUAAGUUAAUACCUUGCUGUUUUGACGUUACCAACAGAAUAAGCACCGGCUAACUUCGUG
Molecule: ribosomal RNA, 484 nt
Filed under: uncultured bacterium
Lineage: Bacteria
Description: partial 16S ribosomal RNA
Rfam family: Bacterial small subunit ribosomal RNA
Source: RNAcentral